RNAcentral lists this long non-coding RNA (1829 nucleotides) under Nicotiana benthamiana. Its description in RNAcentral is "long non-coding RNA (NBEN_LNC017748)". Lineage: Eukaryota; Viridiplantae; Streptophyta; Magnoliopsida; Solanales; Solanaceae. The record is from RNAcentral.
UUUACUAAUCAAUGCAAUGACUAAUCUUUGAUUUUAAAAACAUACUGCAAAAUAGGAAAUUAAAUUACGAAAUGGCUAAAAGUCCCAACAGUCAAAUUAAUAGUGCAUAUUAAGAUCAACUAACCAUUGGCCUACAAUUAUUAGCUUCAUUUCGAAAAGAAAAAUAAAUGCUAAACCAAACUGAUAUCGACUAUAUGAGAAGCUAUUGCUAGAUGAUCAACAGUUUGCACAACUCAAUAGGCCGAGUGAGUACACAUAGAGAUAUGCUAGAACUCUGCAUUAUAAUAUCAACACAAGCUAAGCCAAACUAAAUUGCUACACACAUGGAUUACAUCUAAUUAAUCUAACAUUAUACUACUUAACAAUCCAGUCCAGAAUUAUUACAGAGUUUAAUCACAAUAAACAAGCAAAUGUGGCAGGGCCAUUAAAAUCACAAAGCCACAGUGCCAAAUUAUCCUUAAUUUCAUUUCAUAUCUCAACAGAUGAAGCUACAUCAAUGGAGUCUCGAGAUGUGUACCUGAAUGUCGAAAUACAAGAAGAAUAAGAAGAAGAUCAGCUAUAAUAGCAGAUUCCAGCAGAAUAAUUUGCUAACAGCAGGAAACACAGCAAGUUCAACCCAGAAACGAGUUCAACAAUCGAAGGAUAAUUCCAAACCAAACAGAAGCCAACAAAACAGUCGCAAUUAGCUUGAACAAAACCCAAGUGACUUCGAAUUCAAACCCAGAAAUACCUCUGAAACCUCAUCAACUAAAACAAACCAAAAUAGCUUGAAUACAUUCAAAAAACAGCUUGAAAUUGAACUCAAGAUCAGCUAUAAUAGCAGAUUCCAGCGGAAUAAUUUGCUAACAGCAGGAAACACAGCAAGUUCAACCCAGAAACGAGUUCAACAAUCGAAGGAUAAUUCCAAACCAAACAGAAGCCAACAAAACAGUCGCAAUUAGCUUGAACAAAACCCAAGUGACUUCGAAUUCAAACCCAGAAAUACCUCUGAAACCUCAUCAACUAAAACAAACCAAAAUAGCUUGAAUACAUUCAAAAAACAGCUUGAAAUUGAACUCAAGGUCACCAAGAACUCAGAUUUUUAACUGACAGUGCAGAAAUUCCAAUGUAAUAGUGUAUUUUUGUAGUUUUUUUGUAUUGUUUCUAUUUUUUUUGGUUUCUGAAGAUUUGGAGUUUUGAAAUUCAAAUUUCAGCUGGGAAGACUUAGAGAAUACUCUAGAGGAAUUUUCAGAUCUGUGUGCUUGAAGGGAGUUUUGGGGAGGGAAUUUUGGGCUCCCAAAACUUGUUCAUUAAGGCAUUGGUGUUGCCCUUUUAUAGGCAAAGAUGAGGGCAACCCUCAAUUUUCUGUUUACAAAUCAGUCCCUUAUUUAUUUUCACAAUAGUCCUCUACUUAAUGACCUGCUUCUCAAGUAAGUGCACCUAUUUUCUGAAUUUAGAGUAAAAGUUAUAUUCUAGAAGGUUCUAGUGAAUUCCAAUCAGUUUUAAAAGAUUCCCUUAUCCCUGAAUUGCCCCACUUACUCCUACUUUAUUCAAAGAUUUACUAAACUAAUCCAAAUGAAUUCAGCCUCCUUUUACCCAAGUUAAGCCUAUCCACUGUAGCCAACUUCAUCAGAUUAACAACUAAGUGAACUGAGCAUUACCGAAUGUCCAAACUAACUAAACCGAAUGAUCUACAACCAAUUGAUAACAACCAAAAGGGGUACUAAGAUCAGAUUUAAGUUUAAAUAAAUUCAAACAAGAUUGACUAAAGCAGAACAAACAAGAAAAAUAAUCUAGUAUUCAAACUAUUAGAUUCCCAAAUCUACAAACGACUCUAACCUACGAAUUGC